CAAGACGUGAACUCAGAGGAAAAGUUCAGAAGCAAAGAGCAGCCGUAGGAAAUGCUGCAAUGGAAACAAAAGCAGGAAUUGUCAAACAUGUAGGAAAUCAUUGCUGUUUCAAAUUCAUUGAAGAUGCUGGAAUCAUUCCAAAGCAGAGCCAGACUGUUAAAUCACAUGAGAGUGGCUGCACUGAGUCAAAUCAAAAGCUCAUCAAGGCAGUAUCCUUAGUUAUCAGUAGCAGCUGCUGAAAAAGCAGAAAAGAAAGAGGACAAGAACGUACCUAACUAAUUUCUGAUAAAAUCUGUACUUCAGGGAUUUCUGGAGCUGUCCAUUGUGACCAGGCUAUUCUCUAAGGUGAGUCCACCUUGACCUUUCUGUCCCAGUGUUCACUGUUUUGUCUGUUUGUACUUUUGACAUUCCAAAAGGUUAUGGCAGGGAGAAAAAUAUGGUUGUGACUCUCCCUGCUGUGUGGAAGAGUGUUCCCCUUUAGUUUGCUUGUAAUGCUCUGCCUGAUCAUCUCAUUCAGUGUCCCCUGCAGUGGGUCAUCGCACACAUCUUGACCUACCUAAAAAGAUACGUGAUUUUAGAUUUCACCUAAUUUUCUUUCCCAGACUGAAGAAUCCCAGCCCAUUCAGUCUCUCCAUUCACAGAAGAUGACCACCUUUCUAUCUUCAUCUGUGCCUUUUCUGAAGGGUUCUCAAGAGUAAAACAAAGUGUGGCCUCCUCGAUAUAAAACACCUUGCUGGUUUUAUUUCACUCCAACCCAGACAUCUGUUCUCCUCCAAGGUGGAAAUAAAGGAGAUAGGUUGGCAUCUGAUGAGCCAGCACUUCAAAGACCAGCACUGGCUUAGCUCCAGUUUCAGGAUUCUUGUUCCCGUACACAGCCUUCAGAUCUGUUCAAUGCUAUGCUAUAGUUUUCUAUGAAAACAGAUCUGUUCCUACAGAAGAAGAGCAUUGCUUACACUGCAAUAUUCUUAAAUAGAUUAUUUCAACAUGGGCACAGCAAUUUUAAAAAACAACCAACCAACCACCACCACAAACAACAACAAAAAAAACCCAGCUGGCAUUUACUGAAGCAGACUUUAUACAGGAGCAAGAUCAAUCUGAGGAAUGUAAACCUCAAGUGCCUACUAUAA
This 1127-nucleotide long non-coding RNA is filed under the name Coturnix japonica (Japanese quail). RNAcentral's name for it is "lncRNA (ENSCJPG00005019720.1)". The record is from RNAcentral. Lineage: Eukaryota; Metazoa; Chordata; Aves; Galliformes; Phasianidae.